GCCGGGCGUGGUGGCUCACCCCUGUAAUCCCAGCAUUUUGGGAGGCUGAGGCGGGUGGAUCACCUGAGGUCAGGAGUUCCAGACCAGCCUGACUAACAUGGUGAAACCCCGUCUCUA
RNAcentral lists this non-coding RNA (117 nucleotides) under Homo sapiens (human). Lineage: Eukaryota; Metazoa; Chordata; Mammalia; Primates; Hominidae. The record is from Rfam by way of RNAcentral.